RNAcentral lists this long non-coding RNA (3076 nucleotides) under Citrus x clementina. Its description in RNAcentral is "Citrus clementina (C. clementina) long non-coding RNA (CCLE_LNC006629)". The record is from RNAcentral. Lineage: Eukaryota; Viridiplantae; Streptophyta; Magnoliopsida; Sapindales; Rutaceae.
UUUUUGCAAGAUCUCUUACAAAAAAAAUAAAAAUUAAAGGAUCCUAAUUUAUUCUACUGUCGACAUUUGUUCUGGAUGCUUUAAUUUACUAAGAAACAAUUUUGUAAAAAACAACAUGAAUUCUACAGGAAACUGAAAAGCCACCAACCAAGCAAUUUAUUCAGAUAAAUCAAUUUAUUCAGAUAAAUCGCUUCAAAUUCUACGAAAAUGCCAAUCAGUUGAAUAGUUAUUUUGCCAUGUAUCCAGCAUACAUUUAUAAACUAGAACACAAGAAAACAGCUUCUAAAUAAAUUCAAGUAAAGUACUUAAGAAAUCCUAAACUUAAUUAUACCAAAAAGUUUUUUGUAGAUUGGGAGAUUAUAGACACCCCAGUUUAACAAAAUCCACCCGACAGCAAACAAAUUUUUUUCUCAAAACCCCCUCCCUUAAGAAGUCUGUCUUCUAUUUCUUUUCUUUCCCUCUCUUUUCUCUUUCACAACUCUGCUAUGCUCUGCUCUCACUCUCGUUUCUUUCUUUUUUUCCUUCUUUUAAAGCCACUCACAGUGAUGGUGGAGCGUCGCGAAGGCGUGUCGUGCACUGGUGUCAUGCGUCGCAAAGGCAGAUCGCAAAGACAGUAGAGCUGGAGGCGUUGCCGUGGUGUAAUGCGACAGUGGCUGUGUGGAGGCAGAUCGUGUGGUUGUAGAGCUGGUGUUGCACGACAGUGGUGGUGUUGAGCUGAGAUUUGUGGAGUGGCGGUGUAGAGAUGCAGGGAGAGCCACAAUAGUGAAAAGGAGAAAUAAAAAAUGAAAGCAAACUUUUUUCAUUUACAAUCCCGCAUAAAACCGACUCUCACACGGGUUUGAUUUAUGCGGGUUUGACCGCAUUACAAGUAUUUUUUACUACAUUGUAAUACGAUGAGGAAUACUUGCCAAACAUGAUAUUGUAUUAUUUUAAUACAAUGAGGAGUGCUAAUACCAUGUAAUGAGGGCUGCCAAACACGCCCUAUACCAACAACUUUACACAUUGCAUUUUUUCCUAUUGUCACUCUACCACCAUUAUGUUCUUGAGACGUAAUAAAAAGAUCUUUUAAAGGGACAUACAUUAAGAGAGCAACAGAAAUCUAAUGCUGAUUCACCUUUUUAGUUUAUUUCUGAAGCAAUUAACACACUAACUAAUCCAUAGUCUUCUUCAACAAUUACUGCAUCAUCACUUUGACCUUUUUUAUCCUUCUAUUUGUGUUUUCUUUCUGAUUGAAAUGAUCUUCUUAAUGGCAUUGAAAACACUUCAGAGUCUUGUUUUUAUUCUUGAAUUUUCCUUACUUCUUUUUCCUUUCAUUUUUUUUUAUCAUCUCUCUUUCACAGUUAACCCCCUUUACUAGAUCUAAUUUAAAGAUUUCUUUGUCUUUUUUUAUAACUCCCUUAUAUUAAGACUUUUCUUAACUUUUUUUUUAAUGAGCGAGUUUGCCUCCCGUAUAUAAGAGCAUCAAUAAAGUUCUUAUAAGAUUCAGGUAAAGAGCUCACCAAUAACAAGGCUUUUUCUUCAUUAUCUAAUGUUUCAUCAAUUAUGGAAAAAGUGUGACAGACUUCAUUAAAUUCAUAAAUAUCUUGAUCCAAUGAUGAGCCUUUAACCAUUUUCAGUGUGAACUUUUUUUAUAGAGUCUAUUUACAAGAGAUCUCUUCAUGGACAAGCUUUAUAGCUUCUCCUAUAAAGCAAUAAUUGUUGUUUCCUUUGCCACUUCUCUGAUCACAGAAUCUGCAAGGCUUAAAAUUAUUAUGCUUUUGGCCUUUUUGUCAAUCUCACCUAUUUGUUCGGGUGUCUUGGAUGAAGAAACAUCUUUACCUUCCUUUUAGUUUUUGGUUGAAUUGUAUCUUCUAAGCCUUGAGUGACUAAUAGAGCCUCCAUCUUGACUUUCCACAUGUUAAAACCAUUUUUGCUAUUCAACUUCUCUAGAUCUACUUUAGGUGAUGCCAUACUUGGAUCUUGAUCAGCAACCUCAAUCUUACACCACUUGAAAGACUGAUAUGUUCCAAAGACUUCAAAAGAUCAAUUCUAACCCCAAUUUUAUCAAGAUCAAACAAAGUUGCACACUCACAACAUGAACUAGAUUGAUAAAAAAAAUUAAUUAAUUAAUUAUUGCAAUAACUUAGUAUUAACCAAGAAUGAAAUUGAAAUUAGAUUACUAGCCAAAUCAUAGAGAACACAGAAAGAUACGUGAAGUAGUCUUUUGCAAGAUCUGCAUCCACGAGUGAAUCCAUCGAGCAAGCUUUUAUUGAUGAUUCAAAGAAUGAAUUACAAAGCUAUAUAGUUGAAAUUACAUAGAACAAGAAUAGUUUUUCCCUCUCUUGAUUCAGCAAUGAUCCCCCAAAUACACUAGAAAAUCAAAUUAUAAAACAGCUUUAUAAUAGCUUUUGUAAGCCAGAAUGCAUAGAUGAUUGACGCGUAUCCCAGAGGUCGUUAUAAUGAACUUAGCUCACUUAAGUAAUCACGAGCUUACUCAUAGGAGUAAUUAGUUACGAUAAAAAAGUAGCCUAUUGAUGUUGUUUUCAGCUUUAAAUGAUCAUGUUUUCUUCACGUGUCUUCCAUUUUGCUCGUAAGGUGAUUGAAUUCACCUCAUAACCAACAAUAUCAUUAAUUACAAUCCAUAAUAAAAAAACAAUUAUUGAAAAAUUACUAGGUAGCUCAUGAGUAACAUAUAGACUAAGUGUGAUCGUAGAUCACCCUCGCUCUAUUUUAAAAGCUCUUUAUAUUCUCUUUCAAGUAUAGUUUCCCUAUAAGAACACUAAAUACCUAAUUUCCCAGAGCAGCUCUCUCCCAGCCCAUAGCAUAUUGUGACUAACAGCUUGUUGGAGAAAAAUAAAGCCUUAGAAAUUGAAAAUACAUCUAAGAAGAAACAAAAUGUAUGGUAAGAAUUCGUAAUCGAAACAAACCGUAUUCACUCAAAUAAAUAUGAAUAUCUUAUUUAAUCGAAAUGUAAGAAUGAUACAUGUAAGGUGGCUUUCAUGAGUAUUUCAUUAAAAAUAUUCUAAAAUUCACUCUUGUUAUCCAAUAUAACUAUAUUUUGGCUAAUUAAAUUCAAUAUAAUAUUAUCUAACAUAUU